RNAcentral lists this long non-coding RNA (663 nucleotides) under Monodelphis domestica (gray short-tailed opossum). Its description in RNAcentral is "lncRNA (ENSMODG00000033877.2)". Lineage: Eukaryota; Metazoa; Chordata; Mammalia; Didelphimorphia; Didelphidae. The record is from RNAcentral.
CCCUCCAAUUGAAUAGCCAUUCUUUAAAUUCAACUAUCUGACUAACUGAAUACCCUUGACUGUUUUAUUGUCUAGUCCACAUCUCCCCAUCUUGUCUAUAAGACUAGUAUGACAUGUUUUAUUAAAAGUAAAUCAAUAGGAAUCUUUCCCUCUACUAGUUCACUAAUAUUGUGAAAAAAAGAAAUGAGAUUCGUAUGGAACCUCCUCCCCCCAUUCUUGAUGAUGCCAUAUUGACUAUUACUCAAGUUUUUAUGGAAGAGGAAUCCAGGCAAGAGUUGAUGAGGACCUAAACUAAAGGGGUGGUGACUAUGUCAAGGGAGAGAAAGGAACAUAUUCCAAUGAAGUUGUGAAGGCAGAAUGAUAAGAUUUGGCAACAGCCUGGAUAUGUGUGGUGAGUAAAAGUGAGGAGCCAAGGAUUAGCAAUUACCCAAUUUUAUAGAUAAAUAGAUCGAGGUCCUAAACAACAGAUAAUUAAUCUGUCUCAACCAAUCAAUCUAUAAACAUUUAAGCAUCAACUAUGUGCCAGGUGGUGUGUUAAGCAAUGAAGAUACAAAAAGAGACAAAAGAAUAUCCCUACCCUCAAGAAGUUUACAUAGGUUGUAUGUUGUAGAUCUGCAGUUUGAACUCUCUCCUAAUUCUGUAAUCAAUUAUUUCUAACAUGUC